CCUAGUAUAAAUAGGGGUGGAGUGGGUUGGAGAAAGGGGACACCAAUGUUGGAUGCAUUCUCCAUACACCACACGAAGCAUUCAACGCAUGAAGGUACUUUGGUAAUAAAAGUGGUGGAGUAAUAUUUCUCCAAAGGUUCUCAAGGUUUUACUCUUAUCUCCUGAGUCUAAGAAUAAGAGUGGUGAUGAUCUUAUCCUCAAGAGAGAUUUCGUGUAACCCAAGGCUUAUAAGGGUUGAGAUACUCUUUUCGGAAAGUGGUAUCCACGAUUCCGUCACGAUCCAAGAUCCCCCUAAGUUCUCUGGAACAUUGUUGUGCACGAAGUUCUCAACUUGGGUAUUAUAAAGAAAUGAUUCCUAAGGUUGUAGGGAUUUAAGUAGUCCUUUUGACUCCCCUACUUCCUGGGAACACAAAUGAUUUUGUGUUCAUAAGGUUGUAGAGAUUUAAGUAGUCCUUGUGACUCCCCUACUUUCUGAUAACACAAAACGAUUUUGUGUUCUGUCAACAAGGUUUCGUUUCUAGGAAAUGAAUCACCUUUCCAAUACCCAUACGCCUCCCCUCAGCCUGCAUACAUACUUCAAACUGAGCCAUUUAUGUACCAACUUCCUCUUCUAUUUCCUCUUCUACUUUUUCUUCAUCCUCCACUUUCCCUUCUAAAGUUGUUAAGUUGUGUCUUACCACAAAUGUGUCCAUAGAAAUAUCUAUCUCCAUAUUUGUAGCACAAUCCUUUGUUUUCUCUUGGAAGGUUUCCAGCAGUUUUGUUCACUAGUGAAGUUUUCACCUGAGUUCCACUUGGAUGUGGUAUGAAACUUCUUCCUUCUUGCCUUAAUGGAAGCCUCUUGCAUCCUUGCUUGAAGAAAUACAUCCGUGAGGUCUGCUCGAAUAAGCAAAACAAGCUGCACUUCUUCAUCCAAACCACUAAUAAAACUUUACACAAGAUACGGUUAUAUUACUGUAGGGUUUAGCUUGAGUACUCUGGAUGUUAAAUCCUCAAAUUUUUCUGGUAUUCCAGUACUUAACCAGUUUGUUUCAAUUUGUUGAAACUUCCCACCACAUUAAUACAAGAGGGGUCACCAAACUUCUUUAACAACUCAUCUACUAGCACUUCCCACUGCAGAUUUGGACAUUCUACUGACCAUCCUUGGUACCAGAUACCUGCUCUACCCUCUAGGAACAGAGCUGCUAUCUCUACCUAUUGGUUAGGAGGGAUUUAAUGAAUUGUGAAGAGUUUAGUGCACUUUCUUACCCAGGAAGCAGGAUCGGUGCUUGAGCUUUGGCAAGUGUGCUGCUAGUUGGUCUGGUCGGAGUAGAACUCCUCGAUGUUCUUGAUCCGACAGUUCUUCCUAAUUCCUCUCUAUGAAUCUCUGAAACAUCUACUCCGAGCGCUGGUUUAAGGCUAACAGCUACGUUGCUAGUCUGGAAUGCUUCAAGGGUAGUACCAUGAUGGUCAACCGUCACUGUGAGAUUCACGUGGUUAGUUUCUUGAGUAUUUUUGAGGUUGGCAAGUUGCUCCUCAAGCACUGUGAGACGAGUACCAUAGUUAUGUGUCAUUGUAUAUGCCGGAAUCUGGCUCCGAUACCAAUUGUAAUGUCCCAAAUUAGGGUUUCGGCGAGAUAGAUAGAGUCGGAGAAGAAAGGGGGAGGAAGACAGGGAGAGAAGAGAGGUAGAAUGAGAGGGAGAGAAAAUUGCAAAUAAAAUUUGGAUUGUUGUUCAUUAAUUGAUUGCCACAAAAAACUGCUACAACUAAAUAACGACAAAAUAACAGCAGGAAAGGACAAGUUUCCCGCUUUAAGAAAAAUGGCAAUUCAGUCACUGAACAUAACAAAAGCGAUAAAAGAGCUCAAAUCAUUACACCGAUUAGCCUCGUUAUACGAGUGAAUCCGAGCUUAACCACUUUUAGAUUCUCGAGGGUGCCAAUAUUCAAGUCCUGAUCAACAAUCCCUCUGCAUUUUUCCAGAUUUAACUGCUCCAGAUUCUUAUAACCGGAUAGGUCGGGAACUUUGGUUAGGCCACCCCAGGUGUAGAGAUUCAGAACUGUCAGAUUCUGUG
This 2048-nucleotide long non-coding RNA is filed under the name Linum usitatissimum (flax). RNAcentral describes it as "long non-coding RNA (LUSI_LNC007101)". Lineage: Eukaryota; Viridiplantae; Streptophyta; Magnoliopsida; Malpighiales; Linaceae. The record is from RNAcentral.